AUGUGUUUGUAAGAUAGUACAGAGGGCCCCAGUGUGUUUGUAAGAUAUGGUACAGAGGGCUGCAGUGUGUUUAUAAGAUAUAGUACAGAGGGCCCCAGUGUGUUUGUAAGAUAUAGUACAGAGGGCUCCAGUGUGUUUGUAAGAUAUGGUACAGAGGGCCGCAGUGUGUUUAUAAGAUAUAGUACAGAGGGCCCCAGUGUGUUUGUAAGAUAUAGUACAGAGGGCCCCAGUGUGUUUGUAAGAUAUAGUACAGAGGGCUCCAGUGUGUUUGUAAGAUAUGGUACAGAGGGCCCAGUGUGUUUAUAAGAUAUAGUACAGAGGGCUCCAGUGUGUUUGUAAGAUAUAGUACAGAGGGCUCCAGUGUGUUUGUAAGAUAUAGUACAGAGGGCCCCAGUGUGUUUGUAAGAUAUAGUACAGAGGGCCCCAGUGUGUUUGUAAGAUAUGGUACAGAGGGCUGCAGUGUGUUUAUAAGAUAUAGUACAGAGGGCCCCAGUGUGUUUGUAAGAUAUAGUACAGAGGGCUCCAGUGUGUUUGUAAGAUAUGGUAGAGGGCCGCAGUGUGUUUAUAAGAUAUAGUACAGAGGGCCGCAGUGUGUUUGUAAGAUAUAGUACAGAGGGCCCCAGUGUGUUUGUAAGAUAUGGUACAGAGGGCUGCAGUGUGUUUAUAAGAUAUAGUACAGAGGGCUCCAGUGUGUUUGUAAGAUAUAGUACAGAGGGCUCCAGUGUGUUUGUAAGAUAUAGUAUAGAGGGCCCCAGUGUGUUUGUAAGAUAUAGUACAGAGGGCCCCAGUGUGUUUGUAAGAUAUAGUACAGAGGGCUCCAGUGUGUUUGUAAGAUAUAGUCAAGAGGGCUCCAGUGUGUUUGUAAGAUAUGGUACAGUGGGCCGCAGUGUGUUUGCAACACACAUCACAGUUAAGAUGCUAAUGUUUAGUUAGGGCUCUAUUCAAUCCAUAUCGCUGAAGAUCUGUUUCAUAACACAUUGAUAAUUAAAGGCAAUGUUCCCUGCUGUCUCACGGUAAACGCUGCAUAUCAAAUCACAUUUUAUUUGUCACAUACGCCAAAUACAACAGGUGUAGACCUUAUCAUGAAAUGCUUACUUACAAGCCCUUCACCAACAAUGCAGUUCAAGAAAUAGAUUUAACAAAAUAUUUAGUAAAUAAACUAAAGUAAAAAAAUUAAAUAAAAUCAAAAAGUAACAUAAGAAAAUUACAUAACAAUAAUGAGGCUAUAUACAGGGGUACCGAUACCGAAUCAAUUUGCGGGGGUACAAGUUAGUCGAGGUCAUUUGUAAAUUGACUAUGCAUAGAUAAUAAACAGCAAGUAGGAGAAGUGUAAAACAAAGGGGGGGGGUCAAUGUAAAUAGUCCUGGUGGCCAUUUAAUUAAUUGUUCAGUAGUCUUAUGGCUUGGUGGUAGAAGCUGUUAAGGAGCUUUUUGAUCCUAGACUUGGCGCUCCGGUACCGCUUGCCGUGCGGUAGCAGAGAGAACAGUCUAUGACUUGGGUGACUGGAGUCUGACUAUUUUUUUUUAUGACGGCUCAAUCUGAAAUUACCUUUAAGUUUCAACAUGGAUCCUCCCAGAUACUUGUAUCCAGGCUACAGUAUCACACAUAAAUAUUUGACAGCCCCAAACCAAAUAGUAAAGAAAGUAAAGUUCCUCAAUAGUUUAACAUUAUUCAAAGCUAUCGCAGCUAAUCACUUCUGACUUAAAACCAGAUGUGGGGGAAUAGUGGUUGAAAACGAAUGUAGACAUUAAGCUACACAAACUCCCCGCUCUGCCAGUCUAUACUGUCGGUUCCUUAGAGCAUGUUCCCAAUGCUUACUGUAUAUACAGUGAUCUCCAAAACUAUUGGGACAGUGACACAUUUUUUGUUGUUUUGGAUCUGUACUCCAGCACUUUGGAUUUGAAAUGAUACAGUGACUAUGAGGUUAAAGUGCAGACUCAGCUUUAAUUUUAGGGUAUUUUCAUCCAUAUCGGGUGAACCAUUGGAAAUUACAGCACUUUUUGUACAUAGUCCCCCCAUUUUAGGGGACCAAAAGUAUUGGGACAAAUUCAAUUACAUGUGUAUUCAAGUAGUCAAAAGUUUAGUAUUUGGUCCCAUAUUCCUAGCCCGUAAUGACUACAUCAAGCCUGUGACUCUACAAAAUUGUUGGAUGCAUUUGCUGUUUGUUUUGGUUGUGUUUCAGAUUAUUUUGUGCCCAAUAGAAAUGAAUGGUAAAUAAUUUAUUGUGUCAUUUUGGAG
This is a long non-coding RNA of Oncorhynchus tshawytscha (Chinook salmon), 2238 nucleotides long. NCBI's taxonomy places the organism in Eukaryota, Metazoa, Chordata, Actinopteri, Salmoniformes, Salmonidae. The record is from Ensembl.